This 72-nucleotide transfer RNA is filed under the name Ictidomys tridecemlineatus (thirteen-lined ground squirrel). RNAcentral describes it as "Spermophilus tridecemlineatus (thirteen-lined ground squirrel) tRNA". It matches the Rfam family "tRNA". From Rfam's summary of the family: Transfer RNA (tRNA) molecules are approximately 80 nucleotides in length. The record is from Rfam by way of RNAcentral. Lineage: Eukaryota; Metazoa; Chordata; Mammalia; Rodentia; Sciuridae.
GGGGAUGUGGCUUGGUGGUAGAGCACUUGCCUAUCCUGCAGGAGGCCCUGGGUUUGAGCCCCAGCACCACAA